Molecule: non-coding RNA, 45 nt
Filed under: Schistosoma margrebowiei
Lineage: Eukaryota; Metazoa; Platyhelminthes; Trematoda; Strigeidida; Schistosomatidae
Source: RNAcentral
AUCCAGCUAACGAGUCCCAAAUAGGACGAAACGCGCGUCCCGGAU